GGGAUUGCAGUGGCAAAGCUAGGCUAGGUCUUGGAGGCUGGUGUAAGGCGAUGUGGGUGAAGGCAGGAGGCUGAUGGAAAGACUGGGGGGAAGAAAAGCCGAAAUGGAUUCACGGUGCCUUGGAUGAAGGACGAGAGGGGAACUGCAAGCUCCUUCAACUGGUUCUGUCCGGUGAGAAGUGAUCAAGCUUGGGCUGACAAGAGGCUCAGGGAGCCCUCACGUUCUUUCGCUUUUUUACCUGCCAAUCAAACUGCUACAAGACAACACCCUGAUCUGGCAUGGACAUAGAUCUGGAAAUACACCCUGUGUGGCAGUCAUUUAACACUGGUAGAUUUAAGUCUGAAAGCGUUAACUUUUGGAAUUAAAUUCUAAUUUAGAUUUAA
This 383-nucleotide long non-coding RNA is filed under the name Homo sapiens (human). RNAcentral's name for it is "non-protein coding SOX2-OT:112". The stretch from base 11 to 286 matches the Rfam family "SOX2 overlapping transcript exon 3". From Rfam's summary of the family: SOX2 overlapping transcript (SOX2OT) is a long non-coding RNA, containing at least 5 exons. The SOX2 gene, an important regulator of neurogenesis, lies within one of the introns of SOX2OT. SOX2OT and SOX2DOT (an isoform of SOXOT transcribed from a distal highly conserved element) are expressed in zones of neurogenesis within the brain. Lineage: Eukaryota; Metazoa; Chordata; Mammalia; Primates; Hominidae. The record is from RNAcentral.